AUUAUGGUUUAGUUAUUUUAAUUUUAUUUUUUGAUGUUAAAAAUACACGAUGGAUACUUAAAUAUUGAUGUUUACCUUUUUUAUUUUGAUAUUUUAUGGUGUAGAUUAACCUAAGUUAAUAUAACAAUCAAAACAGUAGGGCAUGGAAUGGCAGAUCAACAUUGUUAAUUUUCGGAUAAACUUUCUGGAUUUUGCCAAGUGAGAACUUCAAUGAUAUACAUGUAGGGGCAUGUGUCCAAAGCUGAUCCACAUCAUAACAUACUGAUUGGGAAUAAUGACAUUGUACCAAAAGAUGUGCUUAUACUGUAAUUAGCAGAUCUUCACAAAUGAACCUGGCAGAUCCUGGUGCAACCUUACCUUACCAUGUGUACAUCUAACCGUCAGUUUGAGCUGUGUGUGGGUGGUAACACGGACUAUAUACAUGUAUUGCCCAGUAAUUGUCUUGUGAUGGACCUUUUUAACAUAUCAAGUAUUUAAUUGAAGACUUAAGAGGUCAGUUUUCAUCAAAGAAUUUAAAAAUACAGUUUUAUUUGUAAGGGUGAAUAUGUGGUUAUAAUGGCAUAAAUGUAUAUCUUGUGUCUGUUUUUUAAUGAGCCUUUCAUCCAUAAUUAUGAAUUUUAAGCAUGAUAAAGUAUUUUAAGGGAAUAUAAUGUAGACAUGUUAUGUUGUUUCUGCACAAGCAUUUGAAUACAAGAAAUUCUAUGCUCACUCAGCACUGUUUACACAUUGUCAAUGAAUUUGCUUGUUUUAGUUUCCAACUCUGUCUGUCUCUAGCUCCCUGUGAAUAAUGUACUUUUUUACAUUGCAUCCAUUGAUUUUAAAUGGAGUGUAUUAUGCACAUGCCACACUUUUUUUUACAAAAACAUUAAGGUCAAAGGUAAAAUAUAUGGGUCAAAAUCAUAACUUUUGCAAUAUUGAAGAUAGCAACUUGAUAUUUGGCAUGCAUGUGUACCUCAUGGAGCUGCACAUUUUGAGUGGUGAAAGGUCAAGGUCAUCCUUCAAGGUCAAAGGUCAAAUAUAUGGGUCAAAAUCGCUCAAAAGGGGACAUUGUGUAUUGUGUUUUACAAACACAUACCUUGUUAUGUUAUGUAAUGGCCUUUCAAUCAUCUUAUUUUUUUAUGAAAUACGCUGGAUUUGUCUUUUCAUUUCAUCCAUGAUAUCAUUAUGUUUUUUUUUGCCUGUUACAAAUUUUCGGCCCAAUGUACGUGUUAAGCAGUUUAACCAUUUACAACGGCAUUUGUGGCGAGGCUUACAGUCAUAAGGUUGGUCAUUACAUGCACUGCAUAUCAUAAAAUCGUUUGGCUUUUAUUGACAAAAUUUGCGAAAACGGUGUCCAAGACUAAACAUGACAAGUGUCGCAACUUCGUCCCCACCUGGGAAUUCAGAGCGCAAAUUUCAGAUUAUAAUGUGUCAGAUUUUACACUUGUAUAAUGAAGAAGUCAUCUCCUGACAAGAUGGUGAUGUACUGAUCUCGUUCCAAGCCACACAUGAUACUUGUUUUGAUUUUAAUCAAAAUCGGUGUUAAAUAGUAAACAUAAAAAGUGUCACAAAUUCGUCCCUAUUGAGAAGUCAGAGCUAAAAUUUCUGAUUUUAAUUUGUCAGAUUUUGCACUUUUAUAAUGAAGAAGUCAUCACUUGACAAGAUUGUGGUGUCCUUAUCUCGUGCCGAGCCACAAAUGAUUCUUGUUUUGGUUCAAAGCAACAUAUAAACGAAGAUUUUUUUUAAAUGUACUUUGUUUUAAAUUCUGUUCUUUGAAAAAUGCAUGCACUUUGUUUUAAAUUCUGUUUUUUGAAAAAUGCAUAAUAAGUCAUCAACUAUUAUAAUUUUAUGAAAAUAUUACUUUAAUUUUGGUUAAUGCAGUUAUUGAUAUAAAUUGUUUUAACGCAUACGAUGUAGAUAACGUUCGCGAACCACAAUAGAAACGUUCGUUGAGUUCACGUUUAAACGCGACGGUCACGUUCUUACAGUGGGUAUUAUUUGUUGAUCUUACUUCACUUUAUCGACCAUUUGUCAUUUAACAGCAGAACACACGAACAAUCAAAGUAAAAUUAGAUGUAAGCGAUCGUUUUUUCCGUUUAAGUUUCAAACAUUGGCUCGAAAAAGUGUGUGCAAAGGCUCAUUAUCGACAAUAAAGAUAACUUAAUAAUAAGCUGUAAAAACAACAAGCAACAGUUUAUGUCUUAUUAAAAUAUACGGUCAGUACAAACAUAUAUUGUAAUAUAUGCUACUAACAAUCGUUAAGUAUAAACUGUAAGCAAACAUCAACAAUAACAAUAACAGUUCGAGUAUAAAUAUAGGUGAAUGGAAAAAGUGAAAAUCAUUUAAUUGUCUUAUUCGCGAUCAUUUCGUUUCCGGUUUCCGUGCGAUAGUCCCAAAUAAGCGUCGCUCUGGCCGUAAUACAUAAUGACCGUCUUUUGAUUAUAGUCAGUAUUUGUGAACCUGAAAACGUGUUUUUAUAAAUCUGGUAUCAUCGACGCCUUUGUUGGAUAUUUAAAAAAAUCGCUUUUCAAUUCGUUUGCCGUUCACCGUGAAAGAUCUAUAACCAUAUUGUCGCCAAGUGUAGCCAGCCAGAUUUCCAUUUUCUUCACAGUUUAUUUAUGGAACGCUUGAAGGCGCUAUUAUUAUUGCGGACGGAUGACAAAUUCAGUUAUCAACGGCAAAAGAAACACAUUUGUAACGAAGUACCUGAUACUAUACAACAAGAGGGCCAUGAUGGCCCUGUAUCGCUCCACUGCUGAAAAAAGGCUAUUCAAAUAUUCUCUGCAUGUGCAAAUACUUAAAUAUAGGCCUAUAGGACGAGAAGAUUUUGAAAAUUUUCACAAAAUAGGCCUUAUAUAAGCAUAUGUUAAAUUUUGUGACCCCCGGGGCAGGGUCAAAUUUGACCCUAGGGGCAUAAUUUGAAGAAAUUUGGUAGAGGACUAUUACAUGUCUCUACAUACCAAAUUUGAUAGACCUAGGCCCAAGGGUUAGGGACGAGAAGAUUUUGAAAGUUUUCACAAAAUAGGCCUUAUAUUAGCACUUAUACUAGCACUCACGAUAUGGCCGGCUCGUGAGCCGUGAGCGUUAAACAUGAAUGGUUACCGACUUCUAUCCGCCUGGCGCCUGGCAUAGUGAUAGGAGUUGGGAGGUACAUGGUAUACACGCAAGGGUGUCUCAUAAGCCGAAUUGGCUGGCCCUUUCAAUAGGGCUGACACUAUAAUAAAAAAGACCUUUUAUUAGCAUAUGUUCAAUUUUGUGACCCCCGGGGCAGGAUCCAAUUUGACCCCAGGGGCAAAAUUUGAAGAAAUUUGGUAGAGGACUAUAAGAUGUCUCUACAUACCAAAUUUGAUAGCCCUAGGCCCAAUGAUUAUGGACGAGAAGAUUUUGAAAGUUUUAACAAAAUAGGCCUUAUAUAAGAUUUUUUUCAUUUUUGUGAGACCCGGGGCAAGGUCAAAUUUGACUGCGUUUUAGAAGUUUCAACGUUGAAAUGUGACGUUUCGGAAAGCUUACAUAUUAUGAAAAGACGUUUUUUUAUGUUGCCGUGUGUGUUUAAACAAAUAUAAUUUUACGAUCAUUGCUUGAUAGCAUUGUAAUUAUUUUAAUGCAGUCAGACGCAGUAGCCGCCGAAACGUACACCUACUACGUUUGUUAAGUGAAAUGUCUGUGCGCCGUUAUUUUGCUAGAUUUCGUAUAACGUCUUCCUUAUGAACUGCAUAAUGUUACAACUUUGAUAAAAAUCUUUAACACUCAAUUCACCAUUAUUUUUGAGUUAAUCAUAACGCUAAAACGGACUAACUAAUGUACAUGGAGAAAGUAAAUAAAAAACAUUUUCUGGAGCAAGAAGUUGAAAAACAAAACAUUACACAUCAAUUUUGACUUCCAUUGCAACCAAAUUUAGGUUCGAUGAUGACAGCCAGAUAUUGCUCUCUAUUAAUUGAAUGUUUCAAAAAUUCGUUAGACCAGUAUCAUGCGAAAAUGGAUCUUAUUUAAUUGUGGUUCCCUCAUUGAACUUAUGUUGUCUGUCGACUUUUAGAAUAAUGUGUCAGAAAUAAAUGUAUUGCUUCAGAUUCACGAGCUUUUUUUUAAGAAAUGAAAUAUGCAAAUGUAUGUUAUAUAUAUUUUUUCUGUUUCUUAAACGUAUCUUAUUUAUUUGUGACUACGUGCUUAUUUUUUUUAAGAAAUGCGAGAUUCAAAUGUGUCUUAUUUAUCUUUUAUCCAUGUCUUAAAUGUGUUUUAUUUAUAUAAGACUACAUUCUAUACUGCCAUCUAUCAUGUGAAAAUGGAUCUUAUUUCUCAAUAUCCACCUUCACACUUUAUUCUUUAUUAGCGCCGUCUUUCAUUAGGCUAUCACUAUUUAAAGAACAGAUUACUGUGAAAUUAAUAAAAAUGUGCAACGGUGAUAUUGAUCCAUUCUCGUUGUUAAUUUUAAAUGUACACAACAGUUUAGCAAUAAAUGAAAUCAGUUAUUUUGACAGUUAAUCCUUUUUUUCCAGUACGGUAGCCAGGUGCCUGUGUAUUGAGCUGACAAGAUAGGGAUAAUCACAGCAGGUUGCUAAUACACAGUGUAGACUUCCCCUGUUUUAUUAUUGUAUUUGUUAUUUACCUGAUUGGAAUAAAUGGAGUGUAUUCAA
This is a long non-coding RNA of Dreissena polymorpha, 4610 nucleotides long. RefSeq lists it as uncharacterized. The transcript has 3 exons. NCBI's taxonomy places the organism in Eukaryota, Metazoa, Mollusca, Bivalvia, Myida, Dreissenidae. The record is from RefSeq and is a predicted model, not a curated record.